This 468-nucleotide ribosomal RNA is filed under the name uncultured bacterium. RNAcentral describes it as "partial 16S ribosomal RNA". It matches the Rfam family "Bacterial small subunit ribosomal RNA", at positions 28 to 507 of the family's 1533-position model. The record is from RNAcentral.
GACGAACGCUGGCGGCGUGCUCAACACAUGCAAGUCGAACGGAAAGGCCCUGCUUUUGUGGGGUGCUCGAGUGGCGAACGGGUGAGUAACACGUGAGUAACCUGCCCUUGACUUUGGGAUAACUUCAGGAAACUGGGGCUAAUACCGGAUAGGAGCUCCUGCUGCACGGUGGGGGUUGGAAAGUUUCGGCGGUUGGGGAUGGACUCGCGGCUUAUCAGCUUGUUGGUGGGGUAGUGGCUUACCAAGGCUUUGACGGGUAGCCGGCCUGAGAGGGUGACCGGCCACAUUGGGACUGAGAUACGGCCCAGACUCCUACGGGAGGCAGCAGUGGGGAAUAUUGCACAAUGGGCGGAAGCCUGAUGCAGCAACGCCGCGUGCGGGAUGACGGCCUUCGGGUUGUAAACCGCUUUCGCCUGUGACGAAGCGUGAGUGACGGUAAUGGGUAAAGAAGCACCGGCUAACUACGUG